This is an RNA transcript of Mus musculus (house mouse), 3810 nucleotides long. It is a transcript of the gene named L3MBTL2 polycomb repressive complex 1 subunit, with no coding region annotated. Lineage: Eukaryota; Metazoa; Chordata; Mammalia; Rodentia; Muridae. The transcript is spliced from 17 exons. The record is from RefSeq and is marked validated.
AUGAUUGGCCCGCAGCUCGGGCGCAGCAGCCAAUGAGCACACUCUCGGAGAGCGGCGAGGGCAAUAUGGCUUCCUGCACCUGGUGACGGUUGAGGGAAUUGAAUUUGGUAUCAUGGAGAAACCGCGGGGCACUGAGGAGGCGCCAUCUUCAGAGCCAAUGGAAGAGGAGGAGGAAGAUGACUUGGAUCUCUUUGGGGGCUACGACAGCUUCCGGAGUUACAACAGCAGUGCGGGCAGCGAGAGCAGCUCCUACUUGGAGGAGUCAAGUGAAGCAGAGAACGAGGACCGGGAAGCAGGGGAGCUGCCCACCUCACCUCUCCAUCUGUUCAGCUCUGCGAACAACCGCUCCUUGGAUGGAAGUGGUUCUGAGCCAGCUGUCUGUGAGAUGUGUGGUAUCGUGGGCACAAGAGAAGCUUUCUUCUCAAAGACCAAGAGGUUCUGCAGCGUCUCGUGUUCCAGGAGCUACUCCUCCAACUCCAAGAAAGCCAGUAUCCUGGCUAGACUACAGGGAAAGCCACCCACCAAGAAAGCCAAAGUCCUGCACAAGGCAGCCUGGUCUGCCAAAAUUGGAGCCUUUCUCCAUGCCCAGGGAACAGGACAACUAGCAGAUGGGACACCCACUGGACAAGAUGCUCUGGUCCUGGGCUUCGACUGGGGCAAGUUCCUGAAGGAUCAUAGUUACAAGGCUGCUCCUGUCAGCUGCUUUAAACAUGUACCCCUCUAUGACCAGUGGGAAGACGUCAUGAAGGGGAUGAAGGUGGAAGUGCUCAACAGCGAUGCUGUGCUCCCCAGCCGGGUGUACUGGAUCGCCACUGUCAUCCAGGCAGCUGGGUACCGGGUGCUGCUCCGAUAUGAAGGCUUUGAAAAUGACGCCAGUCAUGACUUCUGGUGCAACUUGGGAACUGUGGAUGUCCACCCCAUUGGGUGGUGUGCCAUCAACAGCAAGAUCCUGGUACCUCCACGGACCAUCCAUGCCAAGUUUACUGACUGGAAGAGCUACCUCAUGAAGCGGUUGGUGGGUUCCAGGACACUUCCUGCAGACUUCCAUAUCAAGAUGGUGGAAAGCAUGAAGUACCCUUUCCGACAGGGCAUGCGCUUAGAGGUUGUAGACAAGACUCAGGUGUCACGUACCCGCAUGGCCGUGGUGGACACAGUAAUCGGGGGUCGCCUCCGGCUCCUCUAUGAGGAUGGUGACAGUGAUGACGACUUCUGGUGCCAUAUGUGGAGUCCCCUGAUCCACCCAGUGGGUUGGUCCCGGCGUGUUGGCCACGGCAUCAAGAUGUCAGGUCAGUAGAACCCCUGGCUGUUGCGACUCCAGGUUCAGCCUCCCCCUAAAGAUCAGCAGGACCUUUGCUGUGCCCCACAGUAGUGCGAUGAAGUGGCCUGUCAUUGCUACCCUGCAAGUGACAAUGUUGAGGAUCAGAGAGGCCAGUGACUCAGGUCACUCAGCUCAGUAUGAACAGCAAAACCAAGAUGUAACACAGAUGGUAUUGCCACUGGCCCAGAACCAGAGAGCCUGGAUCCCCCAUGCUGCAUAGUCCGCACUACUGCUCCAGGGUCCUCUGUUUUCCCAUUUAGGGAAGCAGCUGGGGCACAACUGAGAACAAAGACAGACGAUGUGACAUGUCUCAUCACCCCACCUUCCGGAAAAUCUACUGUGAUGCUGUACCUUACCUCUUCAAGAAGGUCCGCGCUGUCUACACAGAAGGUGGCUGGUUCGAGGAAGGAAUGAAACUAGAGGCCAUUGACCCUCUGAAUCUGGGCAGUAUCUGUGUAGCAACCAUCUGCAAGGUGCUCUUGGAUGGUUACCUGAUGAUCUGUGUGGAUGGGGGGCCCUCCACGGAUGGCUCCGAUUGGUUCUGCUACCACGCCUCCUCCCAUGCCAUCUUCCCAGCCACCUUCUGCCAAAAGAAUGACAUUGAGCUCACACCCCCAAAAGGGUAUGAGACACAGCCUUUUGCCUGGGAGACCUACUUAGAGAAGACCAAGUCAAAAGCUGCUCCAGCAAGACUCUUUAACAUGGACUGCCCCAACCAUGGCUUCAAGGUGGGCAUGAAGCUGGAGGCUGUGGACCUGAUGGAGCCCCGGCUCAUCUGUGUGGCCACUGUGAAGCGGGUGGUGCAUCGGCUCCUCAGCAUCCACUUCGACGGCUGGGACAAUGAGUAUGAUCAGUGGGUGGACUGCGAAUCCCCGGACAUCUACCCUGUCGGCUGGUGUGAGCUCACCGGCUACCAGCUCCAGCCGCCUGUGUCCGCAGAACCAAACACACCUCAGAAAGGCAAGGACACCACAAAGAAGAAGAAGAAACAGUUUGGGAAGAAAAGGAAAAGAAUCCCAUCAGCCAAGACUCGGCCCCUCAGACAGGGCUCCAAGAAACCCUUACUGGAGGACAACCUUGAGGCUUUGGGGGUCUCGGAACCAGUUCCUGAUGACAUUAUCGCUGUGUGUGUGAAGGAGGAGCACCAGGACAUUUCCUCGCUUGACAGGUCGCCCAGUCCACAGCUGCCUCUUCCCAUUGAGAGCAUCAAGCAGGAGAGGAACAACUGAGACUUCCCUGGCAUCAGCCUGGACCCUAACUGAAGCCAAGCAUGGAGCAGAGAGGAGGCCCGGCUUUACUGCUGUGCAGUGAAUGGACAGCCUGGCGUUCCAGGGCUGCCUCUGCCCUCUGGCUGGCACUCAUUGCACCCUCAGCACACUGGAAAACUAGACUGGUCCCCAUGGUCUACCCAGGCAAGUGGUAGAAGUAAGGUUACGGAGCAGCCGACGCUGGGUGAGGACGGAGCCACCUCCGCCCAAAAUAAAUUGAGGGUCAUGUACCUCCUGGGGGCACCCUGCACCGCCUGAUGUCCCAGGGGCCCCACUGUGGCAGGGAAUUGACCAAGUAGCGGGCUCGAGAGAUUUGGGUUUGGGCCUUGACCUCAGGGAUAACAAGAACACUGACUUCCUUUCUGAGAGGGAACAGCUGGGAAGAUGUACAGGGACCUGAGCCCCUAAGGGAGACUCGGGCCAGGCUACUUGCUGUCAGGUACAGGAUCAGACAGUAGUUUGGUCCAUGUAGUCGGGGAACUGCCUGAGAGAGACCAUCCUUCUCUAGAGCGGGGCUUGGGCUAACUAACAUUCCCUCUCCCUGCCUGGCUAGCCCAGCCACUGCUCAGCCCCUUCACAGCAUCUGGCCUUUGGUUUUCUCACUUGGACACAUUUUUGUUUUAUUUUUGAGACAGGGUCUAUGUAGUACUUGCUGUUCUGGGGCUUGGUAUGCAGCCCAUGCAGAUUCUAAACCGGUAGGGAUCCCCCUGCCUCUGCCUUCCGAGGCCUGUGCACCCAGCCCCCGGCUAGACAGUUUGGCCUGGCCCUCCAGGAUCAUCCUGAACAGCCCUGGGGCUCCUGCAGUGCCCCUGUGUCUGACUGGGAUUUGGACUGAAGCAGUGAGGCCAGUGGCUCCCUACGGCUGUGGCUGUGCCGUGUGGCCAUCUCUGGGCCUACGCCAGUCAAGUCUUGUUCAUCCCUGAGGGGAGAUGUGAGUGGCCAGUCAUCAUGGACUGGGCAGGUUCUGAGAGAAGUUGGUCUUGAUCUAUCCGCUAAAGAUAGCCCACCCUGUGCAGAAUCUAGGCCAUGAAAGAGGCCUUUGCCUGCCUGCUCUCCUCAAAGGGAAGAAGAUGAAAGUCCACAGUAAAAGGCAGGUUCAAUUCCCAGCACCCACUCACAGCACCUGCAUCGUGAGCGCCAAGGGAGCCUGGGCCUCUGGUUUCCGUGGAUACAAAUGUGCACAUCCUUAAAUGUAAAUAAAAAUAAAAUCUUUGAAGAAAACAA